CAUUUCCACAAACUGAAGUAAAUAAAAAAGCUUACAAGAUUCUCUACAAUAUUUCCUUAGCAGGUCAAUGAACUUCUUGCAUCAUUUCAGAUGCUUUGCGGAGCUAAUCAAAGUUUAAUAUUAAGUCAGAAGCGAUCUUGAUUACCCACCAACUAGAAUCACAAUUCCAAGCUACCGUCUUAUUUGGAGAAGGUACACCAGAUUCUGCUAACUCCUACUCUAUUGUGACAGUUUUUUUUUCCGGCACCUACUUUCAGGACCUGCUUCCCUGGGCCCAACCCCUUUUCAAUCCUCACAAAAAAAAAUGAACGCAAAAUAAAGCCUGUAUUUCUCCAAUCAAUUACAUUGACCAUAAAACUAAUCCAGCAAACCAGCACGGAUGCGAAACAAUUAUUCAUUCAUCCAAUGGAUAAAAUGCAAAAUGAGAAAUGGGCAAAAGUCAAAUCUUGAGCAAAUAAAACGAAAUGUGAUACUCCUAAUACAAGAAUCAAACCUUCAAAAUAUCUCGAUGUUCUUGAAGAAUCUUUGCAGCACCAAGAAGCAUUGCAACAUGAGCAUCAUGGCCACAUGCAUGCAUUUUUCCAGCAUUUUUACUUUUGUGCUCCCAGUCCACCAUUUCCUGUUAAAAUUAAGAUGUAUUAACUAAGAGUUUAAUCUCUAUGCACUGACGAUGUAAAAGAUAUAUACACAAUCAAGUCAUUUAUUAGGUAAUUAUAAGUAAAUCUCUCGAUAAACAUUAAUCAGUAGUCUGGUAACAAAUGGUAAGUGACUGCUAUCAUAGGUUAAAAUUCAUUGAUAUAAAAAAAAUCUUUACAAUGUCGGGUUAUAUAGCUUAAAUCCAUUUCUACUUAUUGCUUUUGCCAAAAUUGAAGACGGGAAAAUCUCUCCUUGCUUAAAUUCAUAUUCCACAUUGAUAGAAGGUCCGGAGGUCAAGCAUCAAGAUUGUAGGAGAGGGGGUAGUAGAGCUUUUCCUACUUCAUACCCUGGGUGAGGCGGGGUUGGAUAGGGUUGAUCUUAGAUGGCUUGUGGUUUAUGUUGAGUGAUGAUAGGCUAUAAUUACGUAUUUUAGUCGAUUAUUACACACUAAUUUACUGCACUUUAGUUGAGUUUGCGCUUUAAUCGCUAGUGUUUUGCACUAAUGGUGUGUUCUAUGCCUUGUAGGAGUGAUUCCAAAUAUAGAUGAUAUAGAAUGAAUUUAAGUGAUUUGACGCUUUGAAGUCUGAGUAAAAGCUCAAGGAAUUAAGCAGGGAUCGCGUUGGGGGAUCAAAUUUGAUAAUUAAGUACGAACGAAGACUCGAUGAGGCAUAUUGAUCACUGUCUAGUAAAAUAGACAUAACUUUUUGCUCAGAACUUCAUUUGGGCUCCAUAAUAUAUGGUUGGAAAGUUAACUAAAGAGCUACAACUUUCAUGUUUUGCGUUUUUCCAAAUUCCAAAGGGAACAGGGUGAAAAAUCGCGAUUUUGGCGUAACCGCGGUAGAACCGCGGCAGAGGGCAGUCGCGGACAACUGAAGAAUCAUAGGGCAUGUUUGGCCGCGGUUCCACCGCGACAGCAGCAGAACCGUGGCAGGAGGCGUAAAUUUCAGGGACAUGUGCAAAACACGGGAUUUUAAGCCCUAAACCCUAUAUUAAACUAAGGAAGCCGACCAAGAAAAGAGAGAGGAUAGUUUUGAGACAUAGAUUCGACCUAAGGAGGCAAGAACGCAUUUGGAGCAAGGCGGAGAAAUCUUCCACGAGUUUUUCCUUCCUCUUCCUAUUUUUCAUUGUUAGUUAUGACUUUUAAUAUUUUAGUUUUACAUACUAUUAUGAAUAGCUAACUUGUUAUCUAGAGUUUUGAUAGAACCUUUUGUAGGAUAAAUUCUUGUUAUGUUUUUCUGUAAUUAAGCCAUAAUUUUUCUCUAUUUGUUCAACUACGUUUAUAUUUUGGUUGAUUGAAGAGCUCUCAAUUAGCUGUGCCUAUUUAGUAUGUAUAACUCGGGAGAGAGUGCAUAUUUAGGUAAUUGUUGAACAACACCACUCUCAGAGUAUAUAAGGGAUCAAUAACCGAGGAUUUAAAGGCGAGAUUAGGGAUAACGAAGUCUUGGGUGCGAUCUGAAGUGAGCUGUAUUAAAAGAAACCAGCUAGCGUAACUCGGGGGAGUGCAUCUAGUAAAUUAUCGUGAUUACUUGGGAGAUAUUUACCGUAAUAAGAGUGUUCAUGAUUGAUAGAGAUGAUUCUAUGUGCAACCUAACCGGAAGGGAUUCCAUCAAUAAGGAAAAUCAUAACCUUAGAUCCUUCUCUUAAUUAUUUAAAAUUUAAUCACACAUAGGGGGAAGGAUUUCGAUAAUGGGGAAAUCAUAACUCUAGACCUCCUUAAUCUUGUCUCUAAUUCUUAGUAUCUUUAGUUGUUAAUUUAUUAUUUUAAUUUGUUAAUUAAAUAGUUAAACACAAGAAUCUUAAUAUCUAUAAGUUAGGAACUGUUCAAGGUUGUCUUCUUGGUGAUAGUGAAUAGUUGUAGCUAAGCUUUAGUUCUCUGUGGGAUUCGACUCUGGACUUGUAAACCGGAUUAUAUUUGCAUUGAUCGCAUUAUCCUUUUAUAAGGCAUAGGGCGUGAUCAAAAUUUGGCGCCGUUGCCGGGGAAAUAACGGUGUAGCUGUAGGUGUACAUAUUACUAGGUUUCAAGUUUGAACUUUUAUUUUUAUUUUNNNNNNNNNNNNNNNNNNNNNNNNNNNNNNNNNNNNNNNNNNNNNNNNNNNNNNNNNNNNNNNNNNNNNNNNNNNNNNNNNUUUGAGAAUUGUUGAUUUUAAAAAAAAAUGGCAUCAUGGAAUUAUGAAAGUUUUGAUGUUGGUAAUUCUACUUUUAAUCCUCUUUAUGCAUACUGUGAUGAAAACCACCCUUGGCAAAAUUAUGAAAAUUAUCCCGAGAGCGAGUUUUGUGCACCAACUCAAUCUUAUGUGUGGAAUGUGUGUGAUAUAUGUGGUGGUCAAUAUGGUCA
RNAcentral lists this long non-coding RNA (2971 nucleotides) under Nicotiana benthamiana. Its description in RNAcentral is "long non-coding RNA (NBEN_LNC014278)". Lineage: Eukaryota; Viridiplantae; Streptophyta; Magnoliopsida; Solanales; Solanaceae. The record is from RNAcentral.